CUUACACAUGCAGUCGACGGUGUCUUCGGACACAGUGGCGGACGGGUGAGUAACGCGUGAGAAUCUGCCUUCAGGUCUGGGACAACCACUGGAAACGGUGGCUAAUACCGGAUGUGCCGAGAGGUGAAAGGUUAACUGCCUGAAGAUGAGCUCGCGUCUGAUUAGCUAGUUGGUAGAGUAAGAGCCUACCAAGGCGACGAUCAGUAGCUGGUCUGAGAGGAUGAUCAGCCACACUGGGACUGAGACACGGCCCAGACUCCUACGGGAGGCAGCAGUGGGGAAUUUUCCGCAAUGGGCGAAAGCCUGACGGAGCAAUACCGCGUGAGGGAGGAAGGCUCUUGGGUCGUAAACCUCUUUUCUCAGGGAAGAACACAAUGACGGUACCUGAGGAAUAAGCAUCGGCUAACUCCGUGCCAGCAGCCGCGGUAAUACGGAGGAUGCAAGCGUUAUCCGGAAUGAUUGGGCGUAAAGCGUCCGCAGGUGGCUAUGUAAGUCUGCUGUUAAAGCGUCUAGCUCAACUAGAUAAAAGCAGUGGAAACUACAAGGCUAGAGUACGUUCGGGGCAGAGGGAAUUCCUGGUGUAGCGGUGAAAUGCGUAGAGAUCAGGAAGAACACCGGUGGCGAAGGCGCUCUGCUAGGCCGUAACUGACACUGAGGGACGAAAGCUAGGGGAGCGAAUGGGAUUAGAUACCCCAGUAGUCCUAGCCGUAAACGAUGGAUACUAGGCGUGGCUUGUAUCGACCCGAGCCGUGCCGUAGCUAACGCGUUAGUUAUCCCGCCUGGGGGAGUACCGCACGCAGUGUGAAACUCAAGAUGACGGGGGCCCGCACAGCGUUGAAGUAUGUGAUUAUCGAUGCACGCGAGAUCUACAGGCUGACUGUCCCG
Molecule: ribosomal RNA, 885 nt
Filed under: uncultured cyanobacterium
Lineage: Bacteria; Bacillati; Cyanobacteriota
Description: bacterial SSU rRNA
Rfam family: Bacterial small subunit ribosomal RNA
Source: RNAcentral